CAUGUACUCCCUCCGUCCCAAAAGUCUUGUCUUAGAUUUGUUUAGAUAUGAAUGUAUCUAGUCACAUUUUAGUAUUUAGAUACAUCCAUUUCUAGACAAACCUAAGACAAGAAUUUUGGGACGGAGGGAGUAUAUG
RNAcentral lists this microRNA precursor (136 nucleotides) under Hordeum vulgare. RNAcentral describes it as "microRNA MIR1122". It matches the Rfam family "MIR1120/MIR1122 microRNA precursor family". The record is from RNAcentral. Lineage: Eukaryota; Viridiplantae; Streptophyta; Magnoliopsida; Poales; Poaceae.